This 1341-nucleotide ribosomal RNA is filed under the name uncultured bacterium. RNAcentral's name for it is "partial 16S ribosomal RNA". It matches the Rfam family "Bacterial small subunit ribosomal RNA", at positions 28 to 1381 of the family's 1533-position model. The record is from RNAcentral.
GACGAACGCUGGCGGCGUGCUUAACACAUGCAAGUCGAACGGUAAGGCUCCAGCUUGCUGGGGUACACGAGUGGCGAACGGGUGAGUAACACGUGGGUGACCUGCCCUGCACUUCGGGAUAAGCCUGGGAAACUGGGUCUAAUACCGGAUAGGACUGCACCGUGAGGGUGUGGUGGAAAGUUUUUUCGGUGUGGGAUGGGCCCGCGGCCUAUCAGCUUGUUGGUGGGGUAAUGGCCUACCAAGGCGGCGACGGGUAGCCGGCCUGAGAGGGUGGACGGCCACAUUGGGACUGAGACACGGCCCAGACUCCUACGGGAGGCAGCAGUGGGGAAUAUUGCACAAUGGGCGGAAGCCUGAUGCAGCGACGCCGCGUGGGGGAUGACGGCCUUCGGGUUGUAAACUCCUUUCACCAUCGACGAAGGGUUUCUGACGGUAGAUGGAGAAGAAGCACCGGCUAACUACGUGCCAGCAGCCGCGGUAAUACGUAGGGUGCGAGCGUUGUCCGGAAUUACUGGGCGUAAAGAGCUCGUAGGUGGUUUGUCGCGUCGUCUGUGAAAUUCCGGGGCUUAACUCCGGGCGUGCAGGCGAUACGGGCAUAACUUGAGUACUGUAGGGGAGACUGGAAUUCCUGGUGUAGCGGUGAAAUGCGCAGAUAUCAGGAGGAACACCGGUGGCGAAGGCGGGUCUCUGGGCAGUAACUGACGCUGAGGAGCGAAAGCAUGGGGAGCGAACAGGAUUAGAUACCCUGGUAGUCCAUGCCGUAAACGGUGGGCGCUAGGUGUGGGUUUCCUUCCACGGGAUCCGUGCCGUAGCUAACGCAUUAAGCGCCCCGCCUGGGGAGUACGGCCGCAAGGCUAAAACUCAAAGGAAUUGACGGGGGCCCGCACAAGCGGCGGAGCAUGUGGAUUAAUUCGAUGCAAUGCGAAGAACCUUACCUGGGCUUGACAUAUACAGGAUCGCGCCAGAGAUGGUGUUUCCCUUGUGGCUUGUAUACAGGUGGUGCAUGGUUGUCGUCAGCUCGUGUCGUGAGAUGUUGGGUUAAGUCCCGCAACGAGCGCAACCCUUGUCUUAUGUUGCCAGCACGUUGUGGUGGGGACUCGUAAGAAACUGCCGGGGUUAACUCGGAGGAAGGUGGGGAUGACGUCAAAUCAUCAUGCCCCUUAUGUCCAGGGCUUCACACAUGCUACAAUGGUCGGUACAGUGGGUUGCCAGUCCGUGAGGGCGAGCUAAUCCCGCAAAGCCGGUCUCAGUUCGGAUCGGGGUCUGCAACUCGACCCCGUGAAGUCGGAGUCGCUAGUAAUCGCAGAUCAGCAACGCUGCGGUGAAUACGUUCCCGGGCCU